CAUUAAGUUGACACGCCGUGAUAUAAUCGGAAUACUGUUAAAAGCGGCAUUAAACCCAACUCACUCACUCACUCACUGUGAUUAUGAGUCUAAGUUUGUCAGCACCAUACCAAUGCUCAUGGGUUUUGCCAAAUUUUGGAUUUUUCUCCCAAAUUAGAACUGCAUCCCUACUGACCUGCUGUGAUAUAACCAAAAUACUGUUCAAAGUGGCUUUAGACCCAACUUACAAACAAAACGUUUUUGAGUGUAAGAAAUUUCUUUUCUAAAUAUACAGCCCUCCAACAGUGUCACUUCUAUGGAUGGCCCACUGAGUGUGCUGGAGGUGAACAAGCGUCCAUGACAGACAGGGUUGUGAUGGUGAGGUGAAAUGUGGUUAAGGUUUAUUGCACAUAUGUAGCAACGUCUGUGUGUAGAUGCUUGUACUGGUCCAGAAUAAUGCCAGUGUUAUCAUGCUAGUCUGUUGGGAUACCGUGCUACAGUUAAACAUGGAAACCCCACUCAGACACAGUAUACUGACGCCAAAUGUCUUUUGGUAUGGCACAGCCAGGGAUCAAACCUCCGACAAUCUGUCCACUAGACCACGGAAGUAGUGUAAUGAUAUUAUUGGCAUGUGUAAGUAUGUCAUUGUUGCUCACCCCAUCGACCACUGGUUCACCUGGAUGUACAGGCCUCCAGGAUGUGGCUGGAAUAUUGCUGACUGGCAUAAAUCAAAACAAAAACAAAUUUUCUGAACAUCUUUCAUUUUUCACUUUAAAAUAUCAGAAACAAAGAGCCUCAGCAAUAAAUUUUAUUAAAAUAAAUAACAACACCAUUUUAGUUCUAAGAAAAUAUAUAUAUGUUAAAUAGACCCUAAUUAUUAAUAUUUGGUUUAUAAUAAAUUUAAAAGAAACAAAGCAGUGACUUGAAAUGUAUAGGUAUGCAAAGAAAAACCUUUCAAGCUCUCUCGGUGUACAAUGUUGUGUUGUGUGAGUCGUGGUGGAUAGCUUGUUGUCGUGCAAACGUGUCAUAUUUUGUCCUCGAGAUCAUCAGGCGUUCGUGAGAUUGUAGAACCUCAUUUGUUUCUUCCAUCAGAUUCGCAGUUGUGAUAGUUGUUGGCAUGGGUGCUACAGAAGUGUAGAGGUAGACACCCACAUACACCAGGUACCUUCCUGUAUACACCCACGUACACCUGGUACCUUCCUGUAUACACCCACCUACAUCAGGUACCUUCCUGUAUACACCCACAUACACCAGGUACCUUCCUGUAUACACCCACGUACACCAGGUACCUUCCUGUAUACACCCACGUACACCUGGUACCUUCCUGUAUACACCCAUGUACACCAGGUACCUUCCUGAGAACAGAAAUACACAUGGACAUAUCUGUAUACACACACGUACACCAGGUACCUUCCUGAGAACAGAAAUACACAUGGACAUAUCUGUAUACACACACGUACACCAGGUACCUUCCUGAGAACAGAAAUACACAUGGACAUAUCUGUAUACACACACGUACACCAGGUACCUUCCUGAGAACAGAAAUACACAUGGACAUAUCUGUAUACACACACGUACACCAGGUACCUUCCUGUAUACACCCACGUACACCUGGUACCUUCCUGUAUACACCCACGUACACCAGGUACCUUCCUGUAUACACCCACGUACACCUAGUACCUUCCUGUAUACACCCACGUACACCAGGUACCUUCCUGAGAACAGAAAUACACAUGGACAUAUCUGUAUACACCCACGUACACCAGGUACCUCCCUGUAUACACCCACGUACACCAGGUACCUUCCUGAGAACAGAAAUACACAUGGACAUAUCUGUAUACACCCACAUACACCAGGUACCUUCCUGAGAACAGAAAUACACAUGGACAUAUCUGUAUACACACACGUACACCAGGUACCUUCCUGAGAACAGAAAUACACAUGGACAUAUCUGUAUACACACACGUACACCAGGUACCUUCCUGAGAACAGAAAUACACAUGGACAUAUCUGUAUACACACACGUACACCAGGUACCUUCCUGAGAACAGAAAUACACAUGGACAUAUCUGUAUACACACACGUACACCAAGUACCUUCCUGUAUACACACACGUACACCAGGUACCUUCCUGAGAACAGAAAUACACAUGGACAUAUCUGUAUACACACACGUACACCAGGUACCUUCCUGAGAACAGAUAUACACAUGGACAUAUCUGUAUACACACACAUACACCAGGUACCUUCCUGAGAACAGAAAUACACAUGGACAUAUCUGUAUACACACACGUACACCAGGUACCUUCCUGAGAACAGAAAUACACAUGGACAUUUCUGUAGUACCUGUGGCUACAACCCUAACAGCAUCGGUUUCAUUGAAGUAGUUAUGUGUAUAGUCACAUAGACAGAUGAUGAUGAUGAUAUACCUCAGUUAAAUGUGCAUGUGUGAUGUUCUGAAAGUAUUCUGUUUGAAUAGAACAAAUUUCAAGAUUUAUGAUCUUUUUGACGCAAAUAUUUGUGUGAAAUUGGGAAUUUGUCUUUGAUUAUCAGGAAAAUAUUUAGAUUUUAGACAGUUUAUUGGAAUGAUGAAACAAAAUGUAGAGAACAUAUUUGUGGUUAUUGAGUAAUGUAUUGUUUAAAUAAGUUUAAUCAAGUAAAUACAUGGUUAGAUUAAAACCAUUUUGAACAGAUCAGUUCUGUGUUAAAGAGUGCAAUUGGAUGGGGUUGUACAAUUGUAUCUUAUCUUAUUUUGUAGCUUUUGUUUCAACACAUUCUAAAAGUUCUGCAAAUUAUCACACCAUUGGAUCUUUAAUAUAGCUUUUAAAGAAUAUACUAAUGUCAACACAAACGUUAUUGUCCUGCAAAUUAUCACACUGAAUUCCUGAGUAUUUAGUAUGACAAAACGAUUCUGGUAAAAGUAGUGUGUCCAACUUGGUGAGGAUUUCUGUUCUUUCACAACUUCUCAAACUGUUUGAUUAAACUGCGGAUUAAUAACCUGCUUGUUUAUUAAUCUUGUACAUUUUGUCUUAAUCAAGUGAAUAUUAUCUGUUGCUUUCUAUAUAUAUAAGGGGGCACGGGUGGCCCAGUCGUCUAAGGCGCCGCGAUUCGCUGUGCAGAGUCACGUCCCUUGGGCACGCCAGAAACCUAUGAUUGUGGGUUCCAAUCCCGGUUCGCCCCGAUU
RNAcentral lists this long non-coding RNA (3162 nucleotides) under Haliotis rufescens (red abalone). RNAcentral describes it as "uncharacterized LOC125377450, transcript variant X4". The record is from RNAcentral. Lineage: Eukaryota; Metazoa; Mollusca; Gastropoda; Lepetellida; Haliotidae.